CCAAAUGUGUCCUAAGCGAUCAAUUCCUAAUCCAAUACAGUGCAUCCUGGGUAUGUUUGCAUCUGGAUUUUUUUUAAAGCUCACCUUCCGUCGUUUUUUCUUUCAUUUUAAAAUGUCUAGUUGUGGUCUCUAGUAUGAAUGAAUGACAUGUGAGCCGUUUUUGUAAAAAAAAAGUGCUCAGGUGUCUCUGUAUAGCUCUUUUUUAAUGGACUGUUUUAGGGGUGUGUCCAAAAUGACCGGAUUCCAGCUUUGCUCAUGAAUAUUCAUACAUGCAAACAGCAUGCAAAUAUCUCUCCUCUGAUUGGCUAGGAGCACUGCGACGCCCCUCCACCGCUCUGCCGCUCACUGCCUCCCACCUCCUAACUGAUGAGCGGUGAUGUUGCGUCGCUUCAGCUCCGCCUCUGGGAGUUUCUGGAGCCAAGGUGGGCUGGUCUGUGAGUUUCUGCCUACGUAGGCAGAAAGAUAAUUCAAAAUUCACCCGUUUUUCGGAGGGGGGGAGGGGGGAUUUCUUUGCUUAGCUCCUGCAGACAAUGGGGGCUGCAAAACAGUUUAAUGUGCAGGUGUACACAUUCAACUCGGAGAGACCUACUGUAUUCCACAAAAAACAAGAAAAAUCGGAUUUUCGCGGAAGGUGAGCUUUAA
This is a long non-coding RNA of Astyanax mexicanus (Mexican tetra), 642 nucleotides long. RefSeq lists it as uncharacterized. The record is from RefSeq and is a predicted model, not a curated record. NCBI's taxonomy places the organism in Eukaryota, Metazoa, Chordata, Actinopteri, Characiformes, Acestrorhamphidae. The transcript is spliced from 2 exons.